AGCCUCCACAUCCCCAAAAUGGGCGGCCACGACAUGGAAAAGGAGAGAGCUCGAUUGCGAAGCUUGGCCGCCGAUUUUGGUUUCGAUGAAGAAUUGGCGCAGGCCUGCUUGGAAUGGAUAAUCAAUCUCUACGGUGGUGAUGAGCAGGAACUCGUCUCUUUUAGAGUACUGUGUUAGGAACCACGACCUCCACAAUGCUGCAAUGGACACCAUUCCACCUUCAUUCUUGGGACAACAGUUCAGCCCUCUAUUAUUUUGUCAUGGCGCCUUCAGAGCAGGCUAGAAAGGCUUCCGUCUUGACUGCAAACUUGCUUGUCCUCAACCCAGGAGUCUAGAUCGUGUCUCAGUUCCAAUGUGGUUGAUCAUCCUCUCGAACUAGCUAUUGAUCAUUGCCUUGGUAAGCUAUUGCCUCAUCAACUAGCUAAUCAGACGGGAGUCCCUCGGGCGGAUUUCUCAUUUUGCUUCUCAGCGUAUGAGGUACUAGCAGUCGUUUUUUGCUAUUGUUCCCCUCACAAGGUCUGGUUCUUAUGCAUUACUCAUUCGCCCGUCACUGGAAACACCACUUCGUGUUCGACUUGCAUGUGUCUAACUUUCAACUUUACGAGAUAUCCUUAGUAUAUAAAUCACU
Cucurbita pepo subsp. pepo (vegetable marrow) is the source of this 628-nucleotide non-coding RNA. The record is from RefSeq and is a predicted model, not a curated record. NCBI's taxonomy places the organism in Eukaryota, Viridiplantae, Streptophyta, Magnoliopsida, Cucurbitales, Cucurbitaceae.